RNAcentral lists this non-coding RNA (24 nucleotides) under Arabidopsis thaliana (thale cress). The record is from RNAcentral. Lineage: Eukaryota; Viridiplantae; Streptophyta; Magnoliopsida; Brassicales; Brassicaceae.
UAGUUUCAUUUUUCUUUCUUGUGC